AUUUGGCGGUGUUUUAGUCUGGUUAGAGGAACCUGUGUUAUAAACGAUACAACACGCAUUAUCUUACUUAUUUUAGUAAAUCAGUUUGUAUACCGUCAUUAUUAGAUAAUUUAUGAGAAAAUAUUAUUGGGGUCAUAAUAUUGAGUAUAUUAGAUCAAGGUGCAGCUUAUGAGUAAGUAAAUAUGGGUUACAAUAAAAUUUAUUUAAUAUGAAUUAGGUAUUUAAAUAUGCCUAUGAAGGAGGAUUUAAUUGUAAGAAAAAAAUAGUAAGAUUUUCUGAUAAGAGCUCUAAAUUAU
RNAcentral lists this ribosomal RNA (296 nucleotides) under Cambarus georgiae. Its description in RNAcentral is "partial 12S ribosomal RNA". Lineage: Eukaryota; Metazoa; Arthropoda; Malacostraca; Decapoda; Cambaridae. The record is from RNAcentral.